Molecule: ribosomal RNA, 445 nt
Filed under: uncultured bacterium
Lineage: Bacteria
Description: partial 16S ribosomal RNA
Rfam family: Bacterial small subunit ribosomal RNA
Source: RNAcentral
GUAGGGAAUAUUGGGCAAUGGAUGCAAGUCUGACCCAGCCAUCCCGCGUGCCGGAAGAAGGCCCUCAGGGUUGUAAACGGCUUUUGACGGUGAAGAAUCGACAGGAUGCGUCCUGUUUUGACGGUAGCCGUUGAAUAAGCACCGGCUAACUCCGUGCCAGCAGCCGUGGUAAUACGGAGGGUGCGAGCGUUGUCCGGAUUUAUUGGGUUUAAAGGGUGCGUAGGCUGGAAGGUCAGUCAGCGGUGAAAAGCUAUCGCUUAACGAUAGUCUUGCCGCAGAUACUUCCUUUCUUGGAUGAGGAGGAGGCCACUGGAACGGAUGGUGUAGCGGUGAAAUGCAUAGAUAUCAUCCAGAACACCGAUUGCGAAGGCAGGUGGCUGUACCUUAAUCGACGCUGAUGCACGAAAGCAUGGGGAGCAAACAGGAUUAGAAACCCGUGUAGUCC